Molecule: ribosomal RNA, 253 nt
Filed under: uncultured bacterium
Lineage: Bacteria
Description: partial 16S ribosomal RNA
Rfam family: Bacterial small subunit ribosomal RNA
Source: RNAcentral
UACGUAGGGUGCGAGCGUUAAUCGGAAUUACUGGGCUUAAAGGGUGCGUAGGCGGCGCGGAAAGUUGGGUGUGAAAUCCCUCGGCUCAACCGAGGAACUGCGCCCAAUACUACCGUGCUUGAGGGAGAUAGAGGUGAGCGGAACUUAGGGUGGAGCGGUGAAAUGCGUUGAUAUCCUAAGGAACACCGGUGGCGAAAGCGGCUCACUGGAUCUCUUCUGACGCUGAGGCACGAAAGCUAGGGUAGCGAACGGG